RNAcentral lists this long non-coding RNA (1280 nucleotides) under Lactuca sativa (garden lettuce). RNAcentral describes it as "long non-coding RNA (LSAT_LNC000801)". The record is from RNAcentral. Lineage: Eukaryota; Viridiplantae; Streptophyta; Magnoliopsida; Asterales; Asteraceae.
GUUUGUUUUAUAUGCUCCAAAUGCUUUAAAGAGGAGACGAUCAGGUAUCAAAUUUUGGGGUUUAGGAAAGUUAUUUCAGUCAUUUACACAGAUGAGGGAGGAAUGGAAUAAAUUUCAUGACUUUAUGGAGGGAAAGUUGAAUUCCUUAACUAAUGGAAUUCAAUUCCUUACUCAUUUGCAACCAAUCGCAGAAAUGGAUUGGAAUGGAAUUCCAAUUCCAGCCACAUCCCAAGGAAUCCAACAAACCUGUGGUGCACCCACCACUACAUUUCACGUACCAAAGAAAGAAACACAAAAAGAUUCUAAAAGGACAAGGGACCACUAUCACCCAGGAGGAUGUUGCUGACAUGGAGCAGGGGCAAAGUGGGAAUUUAGAGAAAUACUGACAUUCCGUUAUAAGGAUGGGUAGGGAGCCUGGUGAUGGCAUGGAAGAAUAUUAGAAGUUUCUACUUCUCUGGGAGUCCGUAGCAGCUCGAAUUGCUAUUUCUAUUUCAUUCUUUUUCUUAUCAAUUUCUUGUGUAAUCUCUGUUUUCGUUCAUUAAUCCCAGAAGAAGUGUGAAUCCAUCAGUUGUGGUUUUAAUUUAUCUUGAGUGAAUCUGAGUUCAUAACAAAACCAUACUCCUCAUAAUGUAGUUUUCAUAUCAGAGCAUUAUUUGUUCAUAAGUUACAAAAUAAAAUUCGAGGGCGCUGACCUAAAUGCACAGGGUUAGUUUUUAUUUUAUUUUUAAGCAUAGAUUUCAAGAAUGGUGAAAUAAUUUUCUGAAAUCGAUGAUCGCUUUCAUAGGGAAUGUAAGUAGCAAUUUGGAAUAAGGUCAACCAUCAUACUUUAAACAGGAAAGAUCCAUCAAUAAAGAUUCAAGUGAACUUAUAAAAAGGCAAAUCGGAAACAGUAUGUAAAUGAAUUGGCUUCCAAACAAUGAUCCAAAAAAAAAAUUGGAAAAUAAAACCCAAAAUUGAAACGGGUUAAGAGUUGAUGCAAUAAUUCCCAGGAAAAUUAAAUCCAGAAUGGCGUAUAGUAUGGAUAAUCAAGAUAGAGAUAUGAUACAUUGAUAAAAGGUUUGCAAAAGAAUCGAACCUUAAAGAGCAGGAGGAUAGCGGAAGGAAUCAACGAAGAAGCAGGAGAAAAUGUAGAUGAAUCUCGGAUGUGUUUUGACUUUGACAAGCCUCCAUGAGUUUGAGAAAAUUAUGCGACCAUCUUUAUGACAUAAAUGGAAAACCUAACUUUUAUUUAUGUUUCUCAUUGGUGAAUGGCAAAAAGACCGUGCGAAGUUUACACGUUG